GACGAACGCUGGCGGCGUGCCUAAUACAUGCAAGUCGAGCGAUGAGAAGUGGUGCUUGCACCAAUUUGGAUAGCGGCGGACGGGUGAGUAACGCGUGGGGAAUCUACCUUUGAGAGUGGGAUAACAUCUGGAAACGAAUGCUAAUACCGCAUAACAUCUUUAACCACAAGGUUUAAGAUUGAAAGAUGCAAUUGCAUCAACCUAUAAUUAUACCGCGUCGUCUUAGCUAGUUGGUAAGGUAAAGGCUCACCAAGGCAAUCAUGCGUAGCCGACCUGAGAGGGUGAUCGCCCACACUGGAACGGGAACACGGCCCAGACUCCUACGGGAGGCAGCAGUAGGGAAUCUUCGGCAAUGGGCGAAAGCCUGACGGAGCAACGCCGCUGGAGUGAUGAAGGUCUUCGGAUCUUAAAACUCGUUUAUUAGGGAAGAACAAAGGUGUAAGUAACAAUGCACGUCUUGACGGUACCUAAUCAGAAAGCCACGGCUAACUACGUG
This 496-nucleotide ribosomal RNA is filed under the name uncultured bacterium. Its description in RNAcentral is "partial 16S ribosomal RNA". It matches the Rfam family "Bacterial small subunit ribosomal RNA", at positions 28 to 507 of the family's 1533-position model. The record is from RNAcentral.